RNAcentral lists this ribosomal RNA (388 nucleotides) under uncultured bacterium. Its description in RNAcentral is "bacterial SSU rRNA". It matches the Rfam family "Bacterial small subunit ribosomal RNA", at positions 28 to 417 of the family's 1533-position model. The record is from RNAcentral.
GACGAACGCUGGCGGCGUGCUUAACACAUGCAAGUCGAACGAUGAUCCAGAGCUUGCUCUGGUGAUUAGUGGCGAACGGGUGAGUAACACGUGAGCAAUCUGCCCUUGACUCUGGGAUAAGCGUUGGAAACGACGUCUAAUACCGGAUACGACCCUCGGAGGCAUCUCCUGGUGGUGGAAAGAAUUUUGGUCAAGGAUGAGCUCGCGGCCUAUCAGCUAGUUGGUGAGGUAAUAGCUCACCAAGGCGACGACGGGUAGCGGCCUGAGAGGGUGACCGGCCACACUGGGACUGAGACACGGCCCAGACUCCUACGGGAGGCAGCAGUGGGGAAUAUUGCACAAUGGACGAAAGCCUGAUGCAGCAACGCCGCGUGAGGGACGACGGCCU